Molecule: ribosomal RNA, 732 nt
Filed under: uncultured bacterium
Lineage: Bacteria
Description: bacterial SSU rRNA
Rfam family: Bacterial small subunit ribosomal RNA
Source: RNAcentral
AGCGGCGAACGGGUGAGGAAUGCAUGGGUAACCUACCCUCGAGUGGGGAAUAACUAGCCGAAAGGUUAGCUAAUACCGCAUACGAUUCCCGGACUGCGGUCCGGGAGGGAAAGCGAUACCGUGGGUAUCGCGCUCUUGGAUGGGCUCAUGUCCUAUCAGCUUGUUGGUGAGGUAAUGGCUCACCAAGGCUUCGACGGGUAGCUGGUCUGAGAGGACGAUCAGCCACACUGGCACUGCGACACGGGCCAGACUCCUACGGGAGGCAGCAGUAAGGAAUAUUGCGCAAUGGACGAAAGUCUGACGCAGCGACGCCGCGUGGGGGAUGAAGGUCUUCGGAUUGUAAACCCCUUUCGGCAGGGAAGAUGGAACGGGUAACCGUUCGGACGGUACCUGCAGAAGCAGCCACGGCUAACUUCGUGCCAGCAGCCGCGGUAAUACGAAGGUGGCAAGCGUUGUUCGGAUUCACUGGGCGUACAGGGAGCGUAGGCGGUUGGGUAAGCCCUCCGUGAAAUCUCCGGGCCUAACCCGGAAAGCGCAGAGGGGACUGCUCGGCUAGAGGAUGGGAGAGGAGCGCGGAAUUCCCGGUGUAGCGGUGAAAUGCGUAGAGAUCGGGAGGAAGGCCGGUGGCGAAGGCGGCGCUCUGGAACAUUUCUGACGCUGAGGCUCGAAAGCGUGGGGAGCAAACAGGAUUAGAUACCCUGGUAGUCCACGCCUUAAACUAUGGAUACUAAG